AAGUCGUAACAAGGUCUCCGUAGGUGAACCUGCGGAGGGAUCAUUACACAAUAAACAUAUGAAGGCUGCACCGCCAACAGGCGGCAAGGCUGGAGUAUUUUAUUACCCUUGUCUUUUGCGCACUUGUUGUUUCCUGGGCGGGUUCGCUCGCCUCCAGGACCACAUGAUAAACCUUUUUUAUGCAGUUGCAAUCAGCGUCAGUACAACAAAUGUAAAUCAUUUACAACUUUCAACAACGGAUCUCUUGGUUCUG
This 253-nucleotide unclassified non-coding RNA is filed under the name Curvularia pseudorobusta. RNAcentral describes it as "partial internal transcribed spacer region". The stretch from base 1 to 46 matches the Rfam family "Eukaryotic small subunit ribosomal RNA", at positions 1786 to 1831 of the family's 1831-position model. The record is from RNAcentral. Lineage: Eukaryota; Fungi; Ascomycota; Dothideomycetes; Pleosporales; Pleosporaceae.